This is a long non-coding RNA of Pezoporus flaviventris, 244 nucleotides long. RefSeq lists it as uncharacterized. Lineage: Eukaryota; Metazoa; Chordata; Aves; Psittaciformes; Psittacidae. The record is from RefSeq and is a predicted model, not a curated record. The transcript is spliced from 2 exons.
AAUCAUAGAAUCAUUUAGAUUGGAAAAGACCUGUAAGACCAUCGAGUCCAACUGUUAACACUGCCAAGUCCCACUAAACCAUGUCCCUAAACACCACAUCUACAUGUCUUUUAAAUACCUCCAGGGAUGGUGACUCAGCCACUUCCCUGGACAGACUGUUCAGCGCUUGAUAAUCCUUUUGACUGCUACAGGGACAAAUAGUUGGUGUUGAAGAAGCAAAUCAGGAUCUUCAUGGAGAAGAAAA